AACGAACGCUGGCGGCAUGCCUAACACAUGCAAGUCGAACGAGACCUUCGGGUCUAGUGGCGCACGGGUGCGUAACGCGUGGGAACCUGCCCUUAGGUUCGGAAUAACUCCCCGAAAGGGGUGCUAAUACCGGAUAAUGUCUUCGGACCAAAGAUUUAUCGCCUUUGGAUGGGCCCGCGUUGGAUUAGCUAGUUGGUAGGGUAAAAGCCUACCAAGGCGACGAUCCAUAGCUGGUCUGAGAGGAUGAUCAGCCACACUGGGACUGAGACACGGCCCAGACUCAUACGGGAAGCAGCAGUGGGGAAUAUUGGACAAUGGGCGAAAGCCUGAUCCAGCAAUGCCGCGUGAGUGAUGAAGGCCUUAGGGUUGUAAAGCUCUUUUACCCGGGAUGAUAAUGACAGUACCGGGAGAAUAAGCUCCGGCUAACUCCGUG
This 433-nucleotide ribosomal RNA is filed under the name uncultured bacterium. RNAcentral's name for it is "partial 16S ribosomal RNA". It matches the Rfam family "Bacterial small subunit ribosomal RNA", at positions 29 to 507 of the family's 1533-position model. The record is from RNAcentral.